Molecule: ribosomal RNA, 483 nt
Filed under: uncultured bacterium
Lineage: Bacteria
Description: bacterial SSU rRNA
Rfam family: Bacterial small subunit ribosomal RNA
Source: RNAcentral
GAUCAUGGCUCAGGAUGAACGCUGGCGGCGUGCUUAACACAUGCAAGUCGAACGAAGAUGCCGGAGUGCUUGCACUUUGGCAGACUGAGUGGCGGACGGGUGAGUAACGCGUGGGUAACCUGCCUUAUACAGGGGGAUAACAGUUGGAAACGACUGCUAAUACCGCAUAAGCGCACGGUAUCGCAUGAUACAGUGUAGAAAAACUCCGGUGGUAUAAGAUGGACCCGCGUCUGAUUAGCUUGUUGGUGAGGUAACGGCCCACCAAGGCGACGAUCAGUAGCCGGCCUGAGAGGGUGAACGGCCACAUUGGGACUGAGACACGGCCCAGACUCCUACGGGAGGCAGCAGUGGGGAAUAUUGCACAAUGGGGGAAACCCUGAUGCAGCGACGCCGCGUGAAGGAAGAAGUAUCUCGGUAUGUAAACUUCUAUCAGCAGGGAAGAUAGUGACGGUACCUGACUAAGAAGCCCCGGCUAACUACGUG